RNAcentral lists this non-coding RNA (2046 nucleotides) under Cryptosporidium parvum. Lineage: Eukaryota; Apicomplexa; Conoidasida; Eucoccidiorida; Cryptosporidiidae. The record is from RNAcentral.
AUAAAAAUGAUUGGAAUUAAGAGGAUUUGACAGAAAGUUAGUCAAAUUCACGAACACUGAAUUCAUCACUACUAGAUUCAUAGAGACUUAUGUAGUUUUGAUUAGCAUAUGUUUGGUUUGGAUCUGUAGAUGUGGGAUGAUCACUUUGUAGGGAACUAGUAUAAUUGGAUGGUUGGAUGAUCUGCAUAUUUUGGUCACAUGAUUUUGAUAUUUCACCAUAGUUGUUGGUAGAUUCAUCAAGAUGAUUAUCAUUUUCAGUUUCUGAGGAAAUGUCGAGGUUAAUUAGUUGUGGAUGGGUAUGAGAAGGUUCAUUGAUGGUUGGGAUUUCUUGUAUUGGAGAAGUUUCUUGGAUGGGUGGAGUUUCUUGUAUUGGAGAAGCUUCUUGGAUGGGUGGAAUUUCUUGUAUUGGAGAAGUUUCUUGGAUGGUUAGAAUUUCAUGUGAUAAAGGAAUUUCUUGAGUGUGUGUGGUACCUUCAAUGUGUAGAAUUUCUGGAGUUGGUGAAGUUCCAUCUUUGUGUGUGACUUUCAUAGAAUUCGGAUUAUUUUGUAUUGGCUGAAUUUCAUGAAUGGGGUGGAGAAUUUGGUUUUCUUGGACAUCCUGUUGGCGUGGGGUUUCCGCUUUUUGAGACUCUUGUUGAGAUAAUUCAUGUUUGGUGGGGUUCUCAGGAGAGUAUUCCUCGAGAUGCUUAUAAAAGGUAUCAUUUUGAAGGUCUUCAUCAAUGCUACUGACCUUGCUUGGCUUACUUGUAUUCGAGUUUAGAAUGUGUUUUACAACAGGGCUAACUAGAAUGUCUUGCAUCUGCUUUACCAAUGAAGAUGAUUCUUGUAUGUAUUUUUCGUCUGUUUCAGAAAGAAGGGAAGAUUGUUCAAUAAGCUUAGAACAUAUAACAACCCAUCUCUGUAUAAUUUCAGAUGAAAGAUAUAUAUGAUUUCCAGUGAUUGCUUGUUGAUAUUUCUUAUUCAAGUUAGAAAGACAAUCAAACUCGAAGUAGGAGUUCCAUUUUGGAUUAUGACAGUUUUUUGGGAAAUUAGAAUCUAAUUUGGCAACUUUCUCUCUUAAGUUUGUGGCAAAAGAGUGGCAACAAGAGCUUUCAUGAUUAGCUUUGGUAGUAUGAAACUUUAGUUCAAUGAUGAUAGGUCUAGUUGAAUCUUUAGGAGUUUGGAUUAACUCUUCAUUUUGAUAAAACAAUAUAGGAGAUUUCUCAAAAAGGAAGUCAUAACCUAAGAUUAUAACUAGGCAUUCUGAAUAUUCGAGUUUACUUAGUUUAUUUGAAAUAUAUUCUGGGAGAGUACCUUGGUUUCCAAAAAUAAGCUUGCCAUGACAGUCGAUAAUGUGACUUAUUGCAGGCAUAUAUAGCCAAUAUGCUACAUUACCUUGCAAAGUGGAGUCUGAUAUGAUUUCAUCAGAAGAUGAAGAGGUUUUGGAGGGAUUGCUUGCUUGAAAUAUCCCAUUUUGCUUGGUUUUUUGACAAACUUCUAAAACAAGCAUAGUGGAAUCGAAUAACAUCACAUUUGUAUUGUUGAAUACAAAAUCAAUAUUAAUACAUGGCUUUUCAAUUCUCCAAUUCAUAGUUUCUCGUCUAAGCCCUCUAGUAUUUAAGGGGAUUGGAAUGAAUGAUGAAACCAGAUUUCUUCCUCUUUGGGAUAUCACAUUUUGUUCUUUAAUAGAGUUAUUUUCAAAAAUGUGUUUAAAAACGUCAUCUUCAAAGAUAAUUUUGGUACCCAGAAUUGGGUAUACCAAAGAGUUAUAGCAUUGGUAGUUAAAUGAUAUGGGGUUUCUAUAGCUUCCUAUAAACAUAUCAGAAGGGCCUACAACUGCAAUAUGAGUACUAUAACUUUUUAAAAACUUUAUAAUUGAAUCAACAGUAGUCAAUAAAUUGAUACUUGGUGACCAUUCAUGAAGGAUUUCUGCUGUAAAACUGCGACCAUCACUUAGACUUGGGAAACAAAAUGUACUUGGAAAAGUAAUAUCUGGAGGGCUAAAUGGAAAGUCUUUAUAUAGUAUUAUUUGUACAGGGAUUUCAUUAUUAAGAAAAGUAUCUACAU